CCUACGGGAGGCAGCAGUGAGGAAUAUUGGUCAAUGGACGAGAGUCUGAACCAGCCAAGUAGCGUGAAGGAUGACUGCCCUAUGGGUUGUAAACUUCUUUUAUAUGGGAAUAAAACGUUCCACGUGUGGGAUUUUGUAUGUACCCUAUGAAUAAGGAUCGGCUAACUCCGUGCCAGCAGCCGCGGUAAUACGGAGGAUCCGAGCGUUAUCCGGAUUUAUUGGGUUUAAAGGGAGCGUAGGUGGAUUGUUAAGUCAGUUGUGAAAGUUUGCGGCUCAACCGUAAAAUUGCAGUUGAAACUGGCAGUCUUGAGUACAGUAGAGGUGGGCGGAAUUCGUGGUGUAGCGGUGAAAUGCUUAGAUAUCACGAAGAACUCCGAUUGCGAAGGCAGUUCACUGGACUGCAACUGACACUGAGGCUCGAAAGUGUGGGUAUCAAACAGGAUUAGAUACCCUAGUAGUC
RNAcentral lists this ribosomal RNA (460 nucleotides) under uncultured bacterium. Its description in RNAcentral is "partial 16S ribosomal RNA". It matches the Rfam family "Bacterial small subunit ribosomal RNA", at positions 338 to 795 of the family's 1533-position model. The record is from RNAcentral.